This 249-nucleotide ribosomal RNA is filed under the name uncultured bacterium. RNAcentral describes it as "partial 16S ribosomal RNA". It matches the Rfam family "Bacterial small subunit ribosomal RNA", at positions 524 to 772 of the family's 1533-position model. The record is from RNAcentral.
UACGUAGGGUGCGAGCGUUAAUCGGAAUUACUGGGCGUAAAGCGUGCGCAGGCGGUUUUGUAAGCCAGAUGUGAAAGCCCCGGGCUCAACCUGGGAAUGGCAUUUGGGACUGCAAGGCUUGAGUGCGGCAGAGGAGACUGGAAUUCCUGGUGUAGCAGUGAAAUGCGUAGAUAUCAGGAGGAAUACCGAUGGCGAAGGCAGGUCUCUGGCUGGACACUGACGCUCAUGCACGAAAGCGUGGGGAGCGAA